This 444-nucleotide ribosomal RNA is filed under the name uncultured bacterium. RNAcentral's name for it is "bacterial SSU rRNA". It matches the Rfam family "Bacterial small subunit ribosomal RNA", at positions 9 to 499 of the family's 1533-position model. The record is from RNAcentral.
GAGUUUGAUCCUGGCUCAGAACGAACGCUGGCGGCAGGCUUAACACAUGCAAGUCGAACGCAUCCUUCGGGGUGAGUGGCAGACGGGUGAGUAACGCGUGGGAACGUACCCUUCAGUUCGGAAUAACCCAGGGAAACUUGGGCUAAGACCGGAUACGUCCGUAAGGAGAAAGAUUUAUCGCUGAAGGAUCGGCCCGCGUCGGAUUAGCUAGUUGGUGGGGUAACGGCCCACCAAGGCGACGAUCCGUAGCUGGUCUGAGAGGAUGAUCAGCCACACUGGGACUGAGACACGGCCCAGACUCCUACGGGAGGCAGCAGUGGGGAAUAUUGGACAAUGGGCGCAAGCCUGAUCCAGCCAUGCCGCGUGAGUGAAGAAGGCCCUAGGGUUGUAAAGCUCUUUCAGCGGGGACGAUAAUGACGGUACCCUUCGAGGAAGCCCCGGCAA